This 465-nucleotide ribosomal RNA is filed under the name Cortinarius sp. 12 DL-2015. RNAcentral's name for it is "eukaryotic LSU rRNA". The stretch from base 91 to 243 matches the Rfam family "5.8S ribosomal RNA". Lineage: Eukaryota; Fungi; Basidiomycota; Agaricomycetes; Agaricales; Cortinariaceae. The record is from RNAcentral.
CCUGGGGACUUUUUGUAGGCCUUUCAGGUCUAUGUUGCUUCAUUUACCCCAAUGUAUGUCGAUAAAAUGUUGUGCCGGUUUAAUAUAUACAACUUUCAGCAACGGAUCUCUUGGCUCUCGCAUCGAUGAAGAACGCAGCGAAAUGCGGGGGGGAUGUGAAUUGCAGAAUUCACUGAAUCAUCGAAUCUUUGAACGCACCUUGCGCUCCUUGGUAUUCCGAGGAGCAUGCCUGUUUGAGUGUCAUUAAUAUAUAUAUCAACCUUCUCUUUUUGAGUGGGUGGAUGGGGGGGUUUGCUGGCCUUGUGAAGGGUUCAGCUCCCCUGAAAUGCAUUAUCAGAACAACCCUGUUCAUUGUUGUGAUAACUAUCUACGCUAUUGAAUGUAAGGGGCAGUUCACCUUUCUAACACUCCUCGGACAAUUCAUCAUUAAUGUGACCUCAAAUCACGUAUGACUACCCGCUGAAC